GACGACGCUGGCGGCGUGCCUAACACAUGCAAGUCGAGCGGAGUCGAUCGACGGAAGCCUUCGGGCGGAAGAUGGUUGACUUAGCGGCGGAUGGGUGAGUAACGCGUGGGCAACCUGCCUCGAAGACCGGGAUAACAGUCCGAAAGGGCUGCUAAUACCGGAUGUGGUCAAGGAUCCGCAUGGAUUUUGAUUAAAGGGAAACCCGUUUCGAGAUGGGCCCGCGUCCUAUCAGCUAGUUGGUGAGGUAAAAGCUCACCAAGGCGACGACGGGUAGCCGGCCUGAGAGGGUGACCGGCCACACUGGAACUGAGACACGGUCCAGACUCCUACGGGGGGCAGCAGUGGGGAAUCUUCCACAAUGGGCGAAAGCCUGAUGGAGCGACGCCGCGUGAGCGAAGAAGGCCUUCGGGUUGUAAAGCUCUGUCUGGAGGGACGAAGGAAGUGACGGUACCUCCGGAGGAAGCCACGGCUAACUACGUG
RNAcentral lists this ribosomal RNA (480 nucleotides) under uncultured bacterium. RNAcentral describes it as "bacterial SSU rRNA". It matches the Rfam family "Bacterial small subunit ribosomal RNA", at positions 33 to 507 of the family's 1533-position model. The record is from RNAcentral.